UACAGAGACUGCAAGCGUUAUUCGGAUUCACUGGGCGUAAAGGGUGCGCAGGCGCCGAGUGUGUGAGGCGUGAAAGCCCGAUGCUUAACAUCGGAAUUGCACCUCAAACUACACGGCUAGAGCAUUGGAGAGGUAGCAGAAUUCAUGGUGUAGCAGUGAAAUGCGUAGAUAUCAUGAGGAAUACCAGAGGCGAAGCGGCUAC
Molecule: ribosomal RNA, 202 nt
Filed under: uncultured bacterium
Lineage: Bacteria
Description: partial 16S ribosomal RNA
Rfam family: Bacterial small subunit ribosomal RNA
Source: RNAcentral